AGAGUUUGAUCAUGGCUCAGGACUAACGCUGGCGGCGUGCCUAACACAUGCAAGUCGAACGAAGGUAGCAAUACCUUAGUGGCAGACGGGUGAGUAACACGUAGUCAACCUUCCUUUUAGUGGGGGAUAACUAGCCGAAAGGUUAGCUAAUACCGCAUACGAUCGUAGAGUGGCAUCACUUAACGAUGAAAGCAGCAAUG
Molecule: ribosomal RNA, 200 nt
Filed under: uncultured bacterium
Lineage: Bacteria
Description: partial 16S ribosomal RNA
Rfam family: Bacterial small subunit ribosomal RNA
Source: RNAcentral